CCUACGGGGGGCAGCAGUAGGGAAUAUUGCUCAAUGGGGGAAACCCUGAAGCAGCAACGCCGCGUGGAGGAUGAAGGUUUUCGGAUUGUAAACUCCUUUUGUUAGAGAAGAUAAUGACGGUAUCUAACGAAUAAGCAACGGCUAAAUCCGUGCCAGCAGCCGCGGGAAUACGGAGGGUGCAAGCGUGACUCGGAAUCACUGGGCGUAAAGAGCGCGUAGGCGGGAUAGCAAGUCAGAUGUGAAAUCCUAUGGCUUAACCAUAGAACUGAAUUUGAAACUGUUAUUCUAGAGUAUGGUAGAGGUAGGUGGAAUUCUUGGUGUAGGGGUAAAAUCCGUAGAGAUCAAGAGGAAUACUCAUUGCGAAGGCGACCUGCUAGAACAUAACUGACGCUGAUGCGCGAAAGCGUGGGGAGCAAACAGGAUUAGAUACCCGGGUAGUC
RNAcentral lists this ribosomal RNA (440 nucleotides) under uncultured bacterium. Its description in RNAcentral is "partial 16S ribosomal RNA". It matches the Rfam family "Bacterial small subunit ribosomal RNA", at positions 338 to 795 of the family's 1533-position model. The record is from RNAcentral.